This 5643-nucleotide unclassified non-coding RNA is filed under the name Hevea brasiliensis (rubber tree). The record is from RNAcentral. Lineage: Eukaryota; Viridiplantae; Streptophyta; Magnoliopsida; Malpighiales; Euphorbiaceae.
AUGCUAUCAACUCCUCCAUGUUAACACAAUUUCUUACAGAAAUCUCUUCCAGAUUUUGAAGGUUUGACAUCAAGCUCUGAGGGAACAGCUUCUUCAUACUUGGACAAUCCCAUAUUUUAAAUUCUUUGAGAAGGGAAAAGGUACCAUACGGCAGUGAUAAUGGUCCUGUUAAUGGAAUGUCCCCGUUGAACUUCCUCCCUCCUUCACCAAACAGGAAAUAUAGAUCCUUCAAAUUGCGAAUUUGUAUAAUCUCAAGGGUUUUAAACACAGAAGGGGGGGAGGACAAUGAAAACAAAUGCUCUAGACCCUCACAAUCUUCAAUUUCAAAGUACUCCGGUUCAAUUGCAUAUCGGAAGCAUAAGCCGCCGCUUUCAAUGUUGCAUCCAUCAAAGAUCAGAGAUUUCACUUCUCUUGGGAGAGAUAGGGCAUUGCCCCCUUCGCUGAUACUGCAAUUAUUAAAAUAAACCCCAAAAUCAUUUACUUCGACGUAUUCGCUUUCCAUGUCUUCGCUUUGUGGUACAAGAAGUCUAUAUCGCGUUUGACUGGUUGAAGGUUUACAAGUCAUGAAGGUGUUCAACUCACCAACACCGUGGAAACGGCAUUCCAAUUCUUCCAACUUUCUCAGCGAUGCUACUUCCUUUCCUUCAACUGUGAAAGAAAAGCCAAGGCGGAGGAAUCGCAAUUGGGAAAGCUUUGGUAAUAUCCCUGGUUGCAACUCCUCUAUGUUUGUGCCACAAAGAUCCAAAUACCUGAGAUUGGACAACAAUUUUAUUCCUUUAGGCACUUUUUCCACUCCAGAACCAUAGAGAUCCAACUUCUUCAAUGCACUAAGUUGGGCUAAUGAUGGUAAGCAACGUAGCCCCAGACAUUCUCUGAGCAAUAAUGCACUUAGAUUCACCAAAUAUGAGAUGGAACCCGGCAAUUCUUCAAUACCUGUUUGUGAAAGAUCAAGCACCUUGAGCCCAUGCAAUUGCUCGAAGAAAGAAUAUUCAAUAAAUCUUAACCUGAAAUUUUCACACAACAACAGUGUUGAAAGGUUGGGAAAAGCAGGUGAAUAACCAAAAGAAAUUUCCGGUAUGCGAUUGCACAUUAGAGAAAUUCUCACAAGAUUCUUUGGCCAAUUCCUCAAAUCCGGCAUUUCAGCUAACUCUUUACCCGCUUUAACAACUACUCGUGGAUCGACUUCCAUUAUUUGGAUGGCCAUAUCCCUAACCAAGUCAUGCAUCUUCACAAAAUAUGAAUCUUCUUCCAAUAAGCAAACCCUUACAAGUCUGUUGAGCAUGGUAUGGCCCUCAUCCAAUUUUGCUUGCCUGCUUUCUCCUCUUAUUACUCCUUCAUCAAUCAAAUACUCUAUUACAUUGUCCCUAGCUAUAGGAUGAUCUUCUGGAUAUAAUCCACAAUAUAAGAAGCAUUGUUGCAAUGAUGAAUUAUUCAAGCGAUUAUAACUGAAUUUCAAUGCUUGGAAAACCUCAUUUUCCAUUUCACCUUCUCUAACUUUUGAUUCUUGCAAUUUUCUUAAUGCAUUCCUCCACUCACAAAUAUCAUCCGCUCCCCUCAUGCUUGCAGCUAUUGUUAUAAUUCCAAGAGGCAAACCAGCACAUUCGCUUGCAAUAGAUUUUGCAAUCUCCAUAACAUCUAGGGAUAGUGGUUUUCCUAGCUUAUCCUGGAACAAUUGCCAAGCUUCAAAUUCGGGCAGAGACUUCACUUUUAUUGUUUCCUGGCAUUCCAUCUGUCGACAAACAUCUAACAUACGAGUUGUAAGAAUCAACUUGCAUCCUUUCUCUCGAGCAAGUAUUCCCACUUCCUUUAGAGGAAAAUAGUUCCAUAAAUCAUCCAGAAUGAGAACAAAUUCUUGUUUCUCACUCAAUGCUUUUGACAACUUUGCUGCUCUUUUCUUCAAAUCAUCUUCGUUGGAAAGAUCAAAACCAAUAGUUUUGGCAAUAGAAUUCUGCAAUUUAUAAAUGCUAAGGUCUUGCGAUACAGUAACCCAAUAAACAUUUUCCUGCCUUUGGAGUAGCACGUUAUGAAUAUGUGCUACCAGCGUGGUUUUACCCACUCCUCCCAUUCCCCAAAUGCCAAUGACAGAGACAUCAUCCAUCAUUAAAAAUUCCUGAAUCUUGUCAAAAUUUUCUUGAAAUUCUUGACCCACUAGUUCUGGGGCAAACAAUGCAUCUCCCCUACACUCUUGCACAUCAAGUAGAAGCCCUCCAAGAAACUUAACUCUUUGAUCAAUAAGAUCUUCAACAUUUUCCGUCUUUUUCUCUAUAAGCUUUCCUAACUGUAUCCUCCGAAGACCUGGUCCUGCUUCUAGUUCCAUGGUUCCGAUGUCAUUUUUCAGCCUUCGUACAUUAUUCAGCCAAUUUUGAACUUCAUUCUUCCGUUUCUUGCUACUCCUGGACUCUGCGCCUUCUAGUUCUUUAAUUACAUCAAUUUCCAUGCUUUCUAGUCGUUCCAACUUUCUUUUGAGAGCUUGCUUUUUUUCCUCAAAGUUUAAAUUAUAAUCCGCUGUCGAAAUUAUGGCUUGUCCCAGCAGAUCCAUCCUGAAUUAAUUAAUUGGUGAAUAUGUAGAUCAGAAGCAGCUGAGCCAAUUAUCAGAACACCUCUGUGAGGAAGAAGAGAUAUCCAGAGAGAUUAAAGUCAAUGUAUUAUUCCGAUUAGCGUCCUUCGAAGUUAUUGAGAAAGCGCGUCUUGCUUUCUUUCUUUCUUCCUUAAGAUUCCUGGGUUUUUUCUUUGAUUUUGUUGCAUCGGUUUAUCUUUCCUUCUUUUCUUUUUUAGCACAUCUACUUAGUUUACUAGCGCUUCUUUCUGUAACUAUGAAGUUUCUUUGAAUCUAAGUGUUGCUUCCUUUGUAUUUUUUGCAAAUAUAGAUCUCGGGAUCCUCGCGUGCGACUUUGAAUGUGCUUUUAUGGUCCUUCUUGUGCUCCAUUCGUGAAACAAUGCGUCUAUUGGAGCUUUGCCUAGCUUCUCCGAGCAAAUAUUUUCAUGUUCACAAUGCGACUCCAUUUUAAAGUGCUUUUAUUUGUUUUAUGUACCUUUCCAUAUUCGUUCGAGAUUUAGAGACAAUAUCCUGUGGAGAAGGAUCCUUCGUUACUGCUUGCAGAGUGCAUUUCGUCAAAGUUUGCCCUUGGACUGAACUGUAAAGAAGAUAAGAGGCAUCUAAAUAUUGUGAUUAAUUGAAAACGGGGUCCAGAUUUGAUCAAGAGUUAAGACGGACUGUUGAGUAUAGUAAAUGCAUGGAUCGAAGGGAUGCUAUGGCGAUAUCGGGUUCUGCUUCGUUCUAUAUGCAGAGAGGGAUGGGUGGGUCUGGAGCACAGUCUGGUUUAAAUGUAUCAUCGGGCAUCAAUCCUUUAACUAGUUCAACCGUAUCAUUUCAAUCUCAUGUUGGAGCCAAUAUGAUGGGAUCUACAUUACCUAUAGAAACUUCAACAGCAAUUCCACCUCAUGGUGUUAGUGUGGGUGCACCAUCUGCGAUGCCACCAUCUGGUGAGCCUGUGAAAAGGAAAAGGGGAAGACCCCGAAAAUAUGGGCCAGAUGGUACUGUUUCACUGGCUUUAUCUCCUCCAUUGUCUACACAUCCUGGUACAAUAACCCCAACACAGAAGCGGGGUAGAGGGCGGCCACCAGGGAGUGGGAGGAAGCAACAAUUAGCUUCCCUUGGUGAAUGGCUAUCUGGUUCAGCAGGGAUGGGCUUUACUCCACAUAUCAUCACCAUUGCAGUAGGAGAAGACAUCGCAACAAAAUUAAUGUCUUUCUCACAGCAAGGACCAAGAGCUAUAUGCAUUUUGUCAGCAAAUGGCGCUGUCUCUACAGUGACUCUCCGUCAGCCAUCAACUUCUGGAGGUGCUGUAACAUAUGAGGUUUGAGCACUUGAUUUUUUCUCCCUUUAUCUUGGGUAUUUGUCAGUCAAUGGAUGUUUUUAACAUUAUUGGGUUUAUCCUUUGGAAAUCAAAAUGAUGAGUGAUAUUGUGAAAACUGCUAUGAUGUGUAAUCUUAUGUCUGUAGGGUUUACUCCACAGAUAUGCACAAAUUCUCAGAAUUAACAUUUAUCUUGUGUCUGAAUCAUAUGCUGUGCGAAUUAACCAAUCUACUUUUUUCCUUAAUUGUUGAAGUGACUGGCUUGUCCCCCAUUUCACAGAUAACGACAGGCAUGCUGACCCACACAAAUGCUUUUCCUUUAUUAUUAUUAUUUUUUUUCAUAAAACUAUCCUCCUGAUCUAUUCAAUGAGACGUUGGAAAUUAGCUAGCAGAUUUUAGGCCAGCCUUGCCUUUAAAUAUUCAACUUUUCUUUUCUGGCUUUUGUCCACGUCUCAUCAGUUGAAAUCUAAAAUAUUUUGGUUUGUGUAGGGGCGCUUCGAGAUUUUAUGUCUGUCAGGCUCUUACUUGGUCACUAACAAUGCUGGCUCCCGUAAUCGAACUGGUGGGCUGAGUGUCUCUCUUGCUAGUCCUGAUGGCCGGGUUAUUGGUGGAGGAGUUGGGGGGAUGCUUAUUGCUGCAAGCCCUGUACAGGUAACUUUUCACUUUUAUCACCCUGUAGGGUUUUAUGUGCUUUUACAUUUGCAAUUGUUCUCUCUUUGAGUCACUUAUAAAAGUCCAUUGAUAAUAAGGCCAACAAGUAAAUCUAAUUUUCUUGUUAGAUGAGUAUUAAGAUGAUGUGUGUUGGUAUAUCAGUGGGCAAGAGGUUCCUUGUGUAAACCUAAAAAUUUUAACUAUUUGGCUUUACUCUUCUAGUUGCAUAUUUAAUUUCAAAUCACAGUAGAAUUAGAGAUGGUUCAAUUUUCUUCCAUAUUAAUGCAUUGCCUCAGGUGAUAGUGGGAAGUUUCUUAUGGGGUGGUUCGAAGACAAAGAACAAGAAAGGGGAAGGUCCAGAAGGUGGCAGAGACUUGGACCAUCAGACAGUUGAGAAUCCAGUAACUCCAACCAGUGUUCCACCUAGUCAGAAUCUUCCUCCAACCUCUGCAGUUGGUUUAUGGCCUGGUUCACAGCCUGUGGAUUUGCGUAACACGCAUGUUGACAUUGAUUUGAUGCGUGGAUGAUAAAUUCUGUCGAUUGUUUCAUGGGUAAUGUACAUAUUCUGCUGUUUUCAGCACCACUUGAAUCUCAUCUCCUGAAGUUCAGUGAUGAGGAUUGAAGUCAGCUGAUUCUCAGCGUGAAUGUCUCACUUCAUUUAACAUCGACAGACUAUGGAUUGUACUCAUUUUGCAGCUUGAUGACAAUUAGUUCAGAAUUUUAGUGGUCGUGUAUUUAACUCAUCAAUUUUUCAGAGGAGGAUGUUCAAUGACAAUUUAAAAAUCGUUAGUGGGCAGCAAUGGUUGCUUCCAAUCUUCUUUCCCAAAAUUUAUGAUGUUUAGGUGCUCUGAAUGGUCAUUGAAAGGGAGAUUUAAAAUUGCAAAUUUUGUAAUACUCAAGCUAAGAGAUUGAGUUUGGAAGGGGUUUUGCCGUGAAAGGUAAGAUUUUUAGCCAAAGCUACGUGGCUUAGAUUAAUUUGCUGGCUGUUUGAGAUCCUAUUAUGUCAAGCAAUAGGGACAUUACUGUACUUCAGAAACAGACAUGCUGUUAGGGUUCAGCUAAUCAUAAUUUGAAUUUACUUCAUAUUGCACUUUUGGUUUGUUGUUUCAGAAUUCAUGCCACUGUAAAUUGACAAAC